UACGUAGGGUGCAAGCGUUAAUCGGAAUUACUGGGCGUAAAGCGUGCGCAGGCGGUUAUGCAAGACAGAGGUGAAAUCCCCGGGCUCAACCUGGGAACUGCCUUUGCGACUGCAUAGCUAGAGUACGGUAGAGGGGGAUGGAAUUCCGCGUGUAGCAGUGAAAUGCGUAGAUAUGCGGAGGAACACCGAUGGCGAAGGCAAUCCCCUGGACCUGUACUGACGCUCAUGCACGAAAGCGUGGGGAGCAAACAGG
This 253-nucleotide ribosomal RNA is filed under the name uncultured bacterium. RNAcentral's name for it is "partial 16S ribosomal RNA". It matches the Rfam family "Bacterial small subunit ribosomal RNA", at positions 524 to 776 of the family's 1533-position model. The record is from RNAcentral.